AGUGAACGCUGGCGGCGUGCCUAAUACAUGCAAGUCGAACGGAGUGGCGCACGGGUGAGUAAUGUAUAGCUAAUCUGCCCUACACUAGAGGACAACAGUUGGAAACGACUGCUAAUACUCUAUAGUGUAGGAUGAGGCUAUAUUGUAUCAGCUAGUUGGUGAGGUAAUGGCGGACCAAGGAUAUGACGGAUAACUGGUCUGAGAGGAUGAUCAGUCACCUUGGAACUGAGGCAGAGUCGAGAGUACUACGUGGGGCAGCAUAAGGGGAUAGUGACCAAUGGGGGUAUCGCUGAAGGAGCAACGGCGCGUGCAGGCUGACAGUUAUGGGUAAGUGAGCUCCUGUUGUUAGGGAUGCGGUAGCUAGCGAGGAAGCACCCGCUAACUACGUGCCAGCAGCCGCGGUAAUAC
This 408-nucleotide ribosomal RNA is filed under the name uncultured bacterium. RNAcentral's name for it is "partial 16S ribosomal RNA". It matches the Rfam family "Bacterial small subunit ribosomal RNA", at positions 29 to 526 of the family's 1533-position model. The record is from RNAcentral.